This is a non-coding RNA of Pelobates cultripes (western spadefoot toad), 487 nucleotides long. The record is from the annotation of a GenBank genome assembly. Lineage: Eukaryota; Metazoa; Chordata; Amphibia; Anura; Pelobatidae.
GGAGAAAAUGGAACUGAGAUAUAAUUGCAGAUUUGGCCAGGAAUGCGGCUAAUAAAUGGGCAACCUCUGGACUCACAAAGAGUCAUCCUUCAGCACUCAGGAGAGGAAAAACCCCCUGUGGAGGAAACCUCUGGGGAACCAUGGCUGGAAGGACUGCCCUUCCCUCUGGGCAUUAAGAGGUGAAUAGUUCCCAUAUUUACUAUAAUAGUUUUCCUGAUUAAAACCAUGGCUGCAUUAACUUAUGAGUAACUUCUCUCACAGUAAUGGAAGUGUAACAGUAUAAAUAUCAUUACCCACUCAGUAAGUGUAAGAUCUUUAAGAAAAGAAGGCCAUUUGGGAUUACGUUUGAGAUUCCUCCACUAUAUCUGUCCAGACAGAGGAUGGUACUCGAGAGGCUUCUGGUUGACAGCCUCUUAGGCAUCAGUCCCAUUGGGUGUUAUCGGUUACGUGUAUGAUACAGUGCAUGAGAGAAAAACAGAUCUAAAAU